Xenopus laevis (African clawed frog) is the source of this 46-nucleotide non-coding RNA. The record is from Rfam. Lineage: Eukaryota; Metazoa; Chordata; Amphibia; Anura; Pipidae.
CUUUGGGCCCCAUUUGGGGCCACCAAUGCUUUUAAAAAAAAACUUU